This 2891-nucleotide ribosomal RNA is filed under the name Mesomycoplasma lagogenitalium. Its description in RNAcentral is "23S ribosomal RNA". It matches the Rfam family "Bacterial large subunit ribosomal RNA". Lineage: Bacteria; Bacillati; Mycoplasmatota; Mycoplasmoidales; Metamycoplasmataceae. The record is from RNAcentral.
UUUUAAAUAAGUAAGAGUAUAUGGUGGAUGCCUUGGGUCUGGAAGUCGAUGAAGGACGUGAAUACCUGCGAUAAGCCUCGUGGAGCUGGAUUGCGCUGUGAUACGGGGAUUUCCGAAUGGGGGAACCUAACUAGAUAAACUCUAGUUGAUUUAUAAUGAAUCCAUAGUUAUAAAUGCGAGACACGUUGUGAACUGAAACAUCUUAGUAGCAACAGGAAAAGAAAAUAAAUAAUGAUUUCGUUAGUAGUGGCGAGCGAAUGCGAAAGAGCCCAAACCAUCAAUUAGAUGGGGUUGUAGGACAUUCUAUAUAGAGUUACAAAAAUUUAUUAUAGUUGAAAAAGUUGGGAAGCUUUGACAAAGAGGGUGAUAUCCCCGUAAACGAAAUAAUAGAUUCUCUUGAGUGUAUCCUGAGUAGGGCGGGGCACGUGAAACCCUGUCUGAAUCUGCCGGGACCACCCGGUAAGGCUAAAUACUAACCAGACACCGAUAGUGAAACAGUACCGUGAGGGAAAGGUGAAAAGAACCCCGGGAGGGGAGUGAAAUAGAUUCUGAAACCGUAUACUUACAAUUAGUCAGAGCCCGUUAAUGGGUGAUGGCGUACAUCUUGCAGUAUGGGCCGGCGAGUUAUGUUAACAUGCGAGGUUAAGUGGAAAAAAACGGAGCCGUAGGGAAACCGAGUCUUAAUAGGGCGCUUUAGUAUGUUGAUAUAUACCCGAAACCAGGUGAUCUAUCCAUGAGCAGACUGAAGCUUAGGUAAAACUAAGUGGAGGGUCGAACCGUAGUACGCUAAAAAGUGCCCGGAUGACUUGUGGAUAGCGGUGAAAUUCCAAUCGAACCUGGAGAUAGCUGGUUCUCCUCGAAAUAGCUUUAGGGCUAGCGUGUAGUGUUAAGCAUUGGGGGUAGAGCACUGAAUAUGGAAUGGCGGCGCCUAGCUGUACUGACUAUAAUCAAACUCCGAAUACCAGUGUGUAUUACUAUGCAGUCGGAACAUGGGUGAUAACGUCCGUGGUCGCGAGGGAAACAACCCAGAUCGUCAGCUAAGGUCCCAAAAUUAUGUUAAGUGAGAAAGGUUGUGAGGUUUCCUAAACAACUAGGAUGUUGGCUUAGAAGCAGCCAUCAUUUAAAGAGUGCGUAAUUGCUCACUAGUCAAGAGAUCUUGCGCCAAUAAUGUAACGGGACUAAACAUAAUACCGAAGCUACGGGUACGAAAGUACGUUAGAGGAGCGUUCUAAGUGGCGGUGAAGCUAAACCGCGAGGAUUAGUGGAGUACUUAGAAGUGAGAAUGCCGGCAUGAGUAACGAUUCGGAGUGAGAAUCUCCGACGCCUAUUGGGAAAGGUUUCCUGGGGAAGGUUCGUCCACCCAGGGUUAGUCAGGACCUAAGAUGAGGCAGACAUGCAUAGUCGAUGGAUAAUAGGUUAAUAUUCCUAUACUUCCUAUAAAAGUGAUGGAGUGACGGAGAAGGAUAAUACUACCACUUAUUGGAUUGUGGGGUAAGCAACAAGAAGGAUAGUUUGGCAAAUCCGGCUAUCAUAACUUUGAGUUGUGAUGCAUAGUGAAAGAGCAAUCAAGUAGCGAAUUGUAUGAUUUCAUGCUUCCAAGAAAAGCUUCUAACGCUAAUUUUAUAGGAACCUGUACCGAGAACGGACACACGUUCCCAAGAUGAGUAUUCUAAGGCGAGCGAGAAAACCAAUGUUAAGGAACUCUGCAAAAUUAUCCCGUAAGUUCGCAAGAAGGGAUGCCUACUUUAAGUAGGCCACAGUAAAAUGGGGGGGGUGACUGUUUAUCAAAAACACAGCUCUCUGCUAAGUCGCAAGACGAUGUAUAGGGGGUGACGCCUGCCCAGUGCCCGAAGGUUAAGUGGAGCUGUAAGCAUUAGCGAAGCAGUAAAAUGAAGCCCGGGUGAACGGCGGCCGUAACUAUAACGGUCCUAAGGUAGCGAAAUUCCUUGUCAACUAAUUAUUGACCUGCACGAAAGGCGUAACAAUCUCCCCACUGUCUCAACAUUGGACUCGGUGAAAUUAUGGUCCCAGUGAAAACGCUGGGUACCCGCAUCAAGACGAAAAGACCCCGUGGAGCUUUACUAUAGCUUCGUAUUGAAAAUUGGUCUAACAUGUGUAGGAUAGGUGGGAGACUUUGAAGUAAGGACGCCAGUUCUUAUGGAGUCAACCUUGAAAUACCACCCUUGUUAUAUUGAUUUUCUAACUUGCUUCCAUUAUCUGGAAGGAGGACAGUGCGUGGUAGGUAGUUUGACUGGGGCGGUCGCCUCCUAAAAGGUAACGGAGGCGUUCAAAGUUACACUCAGUAUGGUCAGAAACCAUAUGAAGAGCGCAAAGGUAGAAGUGUGAUUGACUGUGAGACCUACAAGUCGAGCAGGUGCGAAAGCAGGACUUAGUGAUCCGGCGGUACAUUGUGGAAUGGCCGUCGCUCAACGGAUAAAAGCUACCCCGGGGAUAACAGGCUUAUCUUCCCCAAGAGAUCACAUCGACGGGAAGGUUUGGCACCUCGAUGUCGGCUCAUCGCAUCCUGGAGCUGGAGUCGGUUCCAAGGGUUUGGCUGUUCGCCAAUUAAAGCGGUACGCGAGCUGGGUUCAGAACGUCGUGAGACAGUUCGGUCCCUAUCUGAUGUGGGCGUUGGAAUAUUGAUGAGAGCUGCUCUUAGUACGAGAGGACCGGAGUGGACGUACCACUGGUGCUCCAGUUGUUUCGCCAGAAGCACAGCUGGGUAGCUAAGUACGGAAAGGAUAACCGCUGAAGGCAUCUAAGCGGGAAGCCUCCUCAGAGAUUAAUGUUCCCUUGAAAUUCCUUAUAGACGAUGAGGUUGAUAGGUUGGAAGUGUAAGUGUAGUAAUACAUUCAGCUGACCAAUACUAAUAAAUUGAUUGAUUUAAUAGC